Molecule: ribosomal RNA, 1342 nt
Filed under: uncultured bacterium
Lineage: Bacteria
Description: bacterial SSU rRNA
Rfam family: Bacterial small subunit ribosomal RNA
Source: RNAcentral
GACGAACGCUGGUUGCGUGCUUAACGCAUGCAAGUCAAACGGAAAGGCUCCAUCUUGCUGGGGUACACGAGUGGAGAACGGGUGAGUAACACGUGGGUGACCUGCCCUGCACUUCAGGAUAAGCCUGGGAAACUGGGUCUAAUACCGGAUAGGACCGCACCGUGAGGGUGUGGUGGAAAGUUUUUUCGGUGUGGGAUGGGCCCGCGGCCUAUCAGCUUGGUGGUGGGGUAAUGGCCUACCAAGGCGGCGACGGGUAUCCGGCCUGAGAGGGUGGACGGCCACAUUGGGACUGAUACACGGCCCAUACUCCUACGGGAGGCAACAAUGGGGAAUAUUGCACAGUGGGCGGAAGCCUGAUGCGGCAACACCGCGUGGGGGAUGACGGCCUACGAGUUGUAAACUCCUUUCAGCAUCGACGAAGGGUUUCUGACGGUACAUGGAGAAGAAGCACCGGCUAACUACGUGCCAGCAGCCGCGAUAAUACAUAUGGUGCGAGCGUUGUCCGGAAUUACUGGGCGUAAAGAGCUCGUAGGUGGUUUGUCGCGUCGUCUGUGAAAUUCCGGGGCUUAACUCCGGGCGUGCAGCCGAUACGGGCAUAUCUUGAGUACUGUAGGGGAGACUGGAAUUCCUGGUGUAGCGGUGAAAUGCGCAGAUAUCAGGAGGAACACCGGUGGCGAAGGCGGGUCUCUGGGCAGUAACUGACGCUGAGGAGCGAAAGCGUGGGGAGCGAACAGGAUUAGAUACCCUGGUAGUCCAUCGCCGUAAACGGUGGGCGCUAGGUGUGGGUUUCCUUCCACGGGAUCCGUGCCGUAGCUAACGCAUUAAGCGCCCCGCCUGGGGAGUACGGCCGCAAGGCUAAAACUCAAAGGAAUUGACGGGGGCCCGCACAAGCGGCGGAGCAUGUGGAUUAAUUCGAUGCAACGCGAAGAACCUUACCUGGGCUUGACAUAUACAGGAUCGCGCCAGAGAUGGUGUUCCCCUUGUGGCUUGUAUACAGGUGGUGCAUGGUUGUCGUCAGCUCGUGUCGUGAGAUGUUGGGUUAAGUCCCGCAACGAGCGCAACCCUUGUCUUAUGUUGCCAGCACGUUGUGGUGGGGACUCGUAAGAAACUGCCGGGGUUAACUCGGAGGAAGGUGGGGAUGACGUCAAAUCAUCAUGCCCCUUAUGUCCAGGGCUUCACACAUGCUACAAUGGUCGGUACAGUGGGUUGCCAGUCCGUGAGGGCGAGCUAAUCCCGCAAAGCCGGUCUCAGUUCGGAUCGGGGUCUGCAACUUGACCCCGUGAAGUCGGAGUCGUUAGUAAUCGCAGAUCAGCAACGAUGCGGUGAAUACGUUCCCGGCCCU